AUCGGUCAUCCGAGGCUUUCUUUGAGUUUCAUAGUGUUUAACUAAAUGAACACAGCUGCUAACUGGGGUGAUUAAACUCUAUCUGUCACGUGACGUGCCAUAGACCUGGGAUCCGUUUUAUAUUCAUUUCAGGUUCAAAGAUCUGAAAAGACGUAAAAGAAGCAGUCACCCCAGUGGUGUUUGUGGAGAGGUAUUCCUUCAGAAAUGGAGAAGACAGAAAGCUGCAGAGGGUGGAUUGCUUGCAGAUAACACUGUAGUUCUCCAUCAUGCACAAGGACUCACCUCUUUAACUCUUUAUUCCCCACACACACAGAAAUGGUUCCUGGAUCAGUGACUUUAGACUUUGCAGAGGUUUGAUUUUUGCAGAAGAUGUAGCUUUGUUUUAAUUAAGCUUAUAAUGAAUACAUUGUGACCUUCCAGCAACCCAUAUACUGUACUGUAUACAGAA
This is a long non-coding RNA of Carassius carassius (crucian carp), 448 nucleotides long. RefSeq lists it as uncharacterized. NCBI's taxonomy places the organism in Eukaryota, Metazoa, Chordata, Actinopteri, Cypriniformes, Cyprinidae. The transcript has 3 exons. The record is from RefSeq and is a predicted model, not a curated record.